RNAcentral lists this unclassified non-coding RNA (1412 nucleotides) under Camponotus floridanus (Florida carpenter ant). RNAcentral's name for it is "uncharacterized LOC105257028, transcript variant X4". The record is from RNAcentral. Lineage: Eukaryota; Metazoa; Arthropoda; Insecta; Hymenoptera; Formicidae.
CCAAGUCUAGUGCCGACCAGCGCCGCGACGCCUCGCAAUCCUCUCUCUCCCUGUCUCGUCUCUUCUCUUCUCUUCUGCCCUGUCGCCCUUCGUGCCCAACGACAGGGCUCUCUGUUGUUUGACGAGCGUGGCUCGUCUGGAUCGUCUCGAAUCUCGCCACCCGGUAAUAACGCAACCGAUUGAAUCAGCUUAAGGGUGAGACGUGGUCACGUAACGAGUGAGCAGUGUGAGCCCGUGAGUCGAUGGAUGAAUAAUCGCUUAGCUUUCGCGGAGCGAGAUCUUUCCAUCCGUGUCGUUCUCCCGUUCAGCGCGAUCCUUUCGCGGUGACGGUGAAGUGUGAAAGUAUCUUUGCCGAUGAUACUGGCCAUGACAGUGAAGAAUGGGAUUCUCUUUCGUCUUUGUUUCAUACCGCGGCCGACUGUACAAAAGUUGCACGUACGUGAUGAGACAAUAAUUUUGUUUGCUGCAAAACAGCCGAUCACAAUCGCAGGAAUGGCAGUAGAAGAAGUCAGAAUGACGGUAGAGUAGGUGUGUUUGAAACCAUGCAGGAUUCGGCCAAUAUCGUUCACCAAGUUCUCCGAAGCUCGACGGAUCACGUGUCUCGCGACCUUGACUUCCCAUGGCAUCGGAACGCUAAGAGGUUUACCUUGGUAAACCCUAGUAUCUCGGGAUACCACUCGGGGUCUCGGUCGAGGGAUUAAGACGGGGUUGUUGAACAGGACGACACGGGAGGGACGGUAGAGCAUGGGGAGGGGAAGAACAGAGAGGAGAAGAGAAGAGUGAGAAGGAGAAAGCCGACUACAGUAAUCGUACGCCCGUAUAAUUGAUUGAGUCUAAUGAGUUAAAGAGGAUGCUACGGUAUCGAUGGCGAAAAUUAAAGAGUUCUGGGUCACGGAGGCGGCGAUAAUCUCGGGACAGAGAAAGUAUAGAACUUAGGUACUUGUUCUUCUCCGCUCCCCUCUUCCCUCUUCGCACCCCUCCGCGGCAUCUCGCUCCGUCGUCCACGUCUCGACCGGCACGGGAGGAAGCGCUGAUUGUAAAUUAGUUAAAGGAGAUGCUUCAUUAGACAACGCGCUGUCUUGCUUCUUGAAGCUGCAAUUUCCCCGCGUUUAACUGUUUUUAAAGGGGCUCGCGGCAUAAUAACUAGUCGCGCGCAAACUGGCCGAUAUGCAUGUAAAUGAGUAUACAUAAUUUUUUUAUAUAAUUACAAAAGUUAAUAGAACGAUCGCGUAUUUUAUCAAAAUGAUUUAUAUGCCGUAUUGAAUACGGUAUUAAAUCAUGAGCAUAAAUUUUCACAUUUAUUGAUUUUUAUCUUUAUGAGAUUAAUUAAAAUUUUAUGGCGAGAAGUAAAGUAUGGAUAAUAGAAUGGUAGAAUAUAUACAUUCGACAAUUAUUAUAUCAUUACGCAUGUA